Molecule: ribosomal RNA, 580 nt
Filed under: Alternaria alternata
Lineage: Eukaryota; Fungi; Ascomycota; Dothideomycetes; Pleosporales; Pleosporaceae
Description: eukaryotic LSU rRNA
Rfam family: 5.8S ribosomal RNA (bases 214-367)
Source: RNAcentral
AAAGUCCGUAACAAGGUCUCCGUAGGUGAACCUGCGGAGGGAUCAUUACACCCAUUUGAAGGCGGGCUGGAACCUCUCGGGGUUACAGCCUUGCUGAAUUAUUCACCCUUGUCUUUUGCGUACUUCUUGUUUCCUUGGUGGGUUCGCCCACCACUAGGACAAACAUAAACCUUUUGUAAUUGCAAUCAGCGUCAGUAACAAAUUAAUAAUUACAACUUUCAACAACGGAUCUCUUGGUUCUGGCAUCGAUGAAGAACGCAGCGAAAUGCGAUAAGUAGUGUGAAUUGCAGAAUUCAGUGAAUCAUCGAAUCUUUGAACGCACAUUGCGCCCUUUGGUAUUCCAAAGGGCAUGCCUGUUCGAGCGUCAUUUGUACCCUCAAGCUUUGCUUGGUGUUGGGCGUCUUGUCUCUAGCUUUGCUGGAGACUCGCCUUAAAGUAAUUGGCAGCCGGCCUACUGGUUUCGGAGCGCAGCACAAGUCGCACUCUCUAUCAGCAAAGGUCUAGCAUCCAUUAAGCCUUUUUUUCAACUUUUGACCUCGGAUCAGGUAGGGAUACCCGCUGAACUUAAGCAUAUCAAUAA